Molecule: ribosomal RNA, 1463 nt
Filed under: Acinetobacter sp.
Lineage: Bacteria; Pseudomonadati; Pseudomonadota; Gammaproteobacteria; Moraxellales; Moraxellaceae
Description: bacterial SSU rRNA
Rfam family: Bacterial small subunit ribosomal RNA
Source: RNAcentral
AGAUUGAACGCUGGCGGCAGGCUUAACACAUGCAAGUCGAGCGGAGAGAGGUAGCUUGCUACUGAUCUUAGCGGCGGACGGGUGAGUAAUGCUUAGGAAUCUGCCUAUUAGUGGGGGACAACAUUUCGAAAGGAAUGCUAAUACCGCAUACGUCCUACGGGAGAAAGCAGGGGAUCUUCGGACCUUGCGCUAAUAGAUGAGCCUAAGUCGGAUUAGCUAGUUGGUGGGGUAAAGGCCUACCAAGGCGACGAUCUGUAGCGGGUCUGAGAGGAUGAUCCGCCACACUGGGACUGAGACACGGCCCAGACUCCUACGGGAGGCAGCAGUGGGGAAUAUUGGACAAUGGGCGGAAGCCUGAUCCAGCCAUGCCGCGUGUGUGAAGAAGGCCUUAUGGUUGUAAAGCACUUUAAGCGAGGAGGAGGCUACUUUAGUUAAUACCUAGAGAUAGUGGACGUUACUCGCAGAAUAAGCACCGGCUAACUCUGUGCCAGCAGCCGCGGUAAUACAGAGGGUGCAAGCGUUAAUCGGAUUUACUGGGCGUAAAGCGCGCGUAGGCGGCUAAUUAAGUCAAAUGUGAAAUCCCCGAGCUUAACUUGGGAAUUGCAUUCGAUACUGGUUAGCUAGAGUGUGGGAGAGGAUGGUAGAAUUCCAGGUGUAGCGGUGAAAUGCGUAGAGAUCUGGAGGAAUACCGAUGGCGAAGGCAGCCAUCUGGCCUAACACUGACGCUGAGGUGCGAAAGCAUGGGGAGCAAACAGGAUUAGAUACCCUGGUAGUCCAUGCCGUAAACGAUGUCUACUAGCCGUUGGGGCCUUUGAGGCUUUAGUGGCGCAGCUAACGCGAUAAGUAGACCGCCUGGGGAGUACGGUCGCAAGACUAAAACUCAAAUGAAUUGACGGGGGCCCGCACAAGCGGUGGAGCAUGUGGUUUAAUUCGAUGCAACGCGAAGAACCUUACCUGGCCUUGACAUAGUAAGAACUUUCCAGAGAUGGAUUGGUGCCUUCGGGAACUUACAUACAGGUGCUGCAUGGCUGUCGUCAGCUCGUGUCGUGAGAUGUUGGGUUAAGUCCCGCAACGAGCGCAACCCUUUUCCUUAUUUGCCAGCGAGUAAUGUCGGGAACUUUAAGGAUACUGCCAGUGACAAACUGGAGGAAGGCGGGGACGACGUCAAGUCAUCAUGGCCCUUACGGCCAGGGCUACACACGUGCUACAAUGGUCGGUACAAAGGGUUGCUACCUAGCGAUAGGAUGCUAAUCUCAAAAAGCCGAUCGUAGUCCGGAUUGGAGUCUGCAACUCGACUCCAUGAAGUCGGAAUCGCUAGUAAUCGCGGAUCAGAAUGCCGCGGUGAAUACGUUCCCGGGCCUUGUACACACCGCCCGUCACACCAUGGGGAGUUUGUUGCACCAGAAGUAGCUAGCCUAACUGCAAAGAGGGCGGUUACCACGGUGUGGCCGAUGACUGGGGUG